This 1489-nucleotide ribosomal RNA is filed under the name uncultured bacterium. RNAcentral's name for it is "bacterial SSU rRNA". It matches the Rfam family "Bacterial small subunit ribosomal RNA". The record is from RNAcentral.
GAGAGUUUGAUCCUGGCUCAGGAUGAACGCUGGCGGCGUGCUUAACACAUGCAAGUCGAACGAAGCACCUUAGACAGAAGCCUUCGGGCGGAAGACUUUGGUGACUUAGUGGCGGACGGGUGAGUAACGCGUGGGUAACCUGCCCUGUACCGGGGGACAACAGUUGGAAACGACUGCUAAUACCGCAUAAGCGCACAGCAUCGCAUGAUGCAGUGUGAAAAACUCCGGUGGUACAGGAUGGACCCGCGUCUGAUUAGCUAGUUGGUGAGGUAACGGCUUACCAAGGCAACGAUCAGUAGCCGACUUGAGAGAGUGAUCGGCCACAUUGGGACUGAGACACGGCCCAAACUCCUACGGGAGGCAGCAGUGGGGAAUAUUGCACAAUGGGGGAAACCCUGAUGCAGCGACGCCGCGUGAAGGAAGAAGUAUUUCGGUAUGUAAACUUCUAUCAGCAAGGAAGAAAAUGACGGUACUUGACUAAGAAGCCCCGGCUAAAUACGUGCCAGCAGCCGCGGUAAUACGUAUGGGGCAAGCGUUAUCCGGAUUUACUGGGUGUAAAGGGAGCGUAGGCGGUAAGACAAGUCAGAAGUGAAAGGCUGGGGCUCAACCCUGGGACUGCUUUUGAAACUGUCUAACUAGAGUGCAGGAGAGGUAAGUGGAAUUCCUAGUGUAGCGGUGGAAUGCGUAGAUAUCGGGAGGAACACCAGUGGCGAAGGCGGCCUACUGGGCACCAACUGACGCUGAGGCUCGAAAGUGUGGGUAGCAAACAGGAUUAGAUACCCUGGUAGUCCACACCGUAAACGAUGAUUACUAGGUGUUGGAGGAUUGACCCCUUCAGUGCCGCAGUUAACACAAUAAGUAAUCCACCUGGGGAGUACGACCGCAAGGUUGAAACUCAAAGGAAUUGACGGGGGCCCGCACAAGCAGUGGAGUAUGUGGUUUAAUUCGACGCAACGCGAAGAACCUUACCAAGUCUUGACAUCCUGCGACAUGCAUAGAAAUAUGUUUUUCCUUCGGGACGCAGAGACAGGUGGUGCAUGGUUGUCGUCAGCUCGUGUCGUGAGAUGUUGGGUUAAGUCCCGCAACGAGCGCAACCCUUACUGUCAGUUACUACGCAAGAGGACUCUGGCAGGACUGCCGUUGACAAAACGGAGGAAGGUGGGGAUGACGUCAAAUCAUCAUGCCCUUUAUGACUUGGGCUACACACGUACUACAAUGGCGUUAAACAAAGAGAAGCAAGACCGCGAGGUGGAGCAAAACUCAGAAACAACGUCCCAGUUCGGACUGCAGGCUGCAACUCGCCUGCACGAAGUCGGAAUUGCUAGUAAUCGUGGAUCAGCAUGCCACGGUGAAUACGUUCCCGGGCCUUGUACACACCGCCCGUCACACCAUGAGAGCCGGGGGGACCCGAAGUCGGUAGUCUAACCGCAAGGAGGACGCCGCCGAAGGUAAAACUGGUGAUUGGGGUGAAGUCGUAACAAGGUAGCCG